Non-coding RNA from Pelobates cultripes (western spadefoot toad), 1270 nucleotides. The record is from the annotation of a GenBank genome assembly. NCBI's taxonomy places the organism in Eukaryota, Metazoa, Chordata, Amphibia, Anura, Pelobatidae.
CUGAGAACCAUAAAGCACCCAGGUUCAAAUCCCUUGUUGGGCACUUAUGGGACGACCUCAUCUGGCAGUCUGGAUUUCAUGACAAGAACCGUGACAUCCUGGUGCUCGUAUUGACGCUUCCGCGUCUGAUUAGUGUGGUCGUAAUGAUACUGUAUCUGCGCCCAAGUCAGCGCGGCUGCGCUGAGUCAUGUUUUAACCAAUUACUACACAGAAAGUCAUAUUUAAACCCUGACUAGCCUUUUCUCAGUGCCCUGUCAUGGUUUCCACUUGUUUGUUGUCUGAGAGUGCGUUCCUGUUCGUUGAUAUUUGGCUUUGACUUGCAUUCGACUUUCGCUACUUCAGGUAUCUUGUCUUUUGGCUAGUAUUACAUUUGGUAUCUACUUUUGUAUCCCUGACUUCGGCUUGUUUAUUGACUAUUCUCUUAUGUUAAGUUCGGCCAUUCUAAGGCCCGGUAUACGUUACUUGAUUUUUCAUAGUUCUGCGUUUUGGGUCAUAUAGUAGUCAUGACACUGCCAUCCUCCCAUAGAGCAUUUUGCUGCCAUCUCAUCCUGAGGUAAAUGAUGCUAAUGCAUCCGUCACUUGAUCUAAAAAAAAAAAGAGGGAUUUAUUGGACCAGACAACCUUGCUCCAUGGUCCAUUUCUGAUGCUCACAUGCUCACUAAAGGCAAAUUCAGCAAUUGAAGGGGCUCACUCUGCCUGCCUGUGGCUGCACAGCCCCAUAUGCAGCUAACACAUUUCUGUCAUGGCCAGCAUUAACUUUUCUAGCAAUUUGAGCUACAGUAGCUCUUCUGUGUAAUCUGACCAAACAGAGUUUGCUUCACACGUGCAUCAGUGAGCCUUGAGCUCCCGUAAUCCUGACACCGGUUCACCGGUUGUCCUCCCUUGCAUCAUUCUAACAGAGUCGUCAAGUCAUCACUAUUUGGCCCUUGUUAAAGUCGCUCAGAGAGAACUCUAUUAGAAGUGUCUAGAAAACUUAACAAAACAGUAGUAGUGUAGCGUAGAAUAAAAUAGUGUAGAGAUAAUUUUUAGGUAAACAACGUUACAACUAUAAAUGGAAGGAGUGCCAGACAGACACAUCUUCUCGGUAGAUUGCAAACUAUUUACAAUCCGUUAUGAAUUGAUGUCUGCAUAAACAUGUACCCAAAGAUCUAAAAUGAGAGAAUAUGGGAACCUUGCUGCCAGCUGGGUUACAUAGUUACAUAGCUGAAAAGAAACUUGCGUCCAUCAAAUUCAGCCUACCUCACAUUUGUUUUUUGCUGUUGAUCCAAAA